UCAUGCCAAUAAUUUCAAACAAAGGUUGUCUAUAUUUGUUUGUCUUGUAGGUGCUAUCCAUAACUAACACAAUCGGAAAAAUAUUCAACAACUUAACUAAAUCAGGAUGUGCCCAAAAUAUCUCUCUCACCACUUCCUAUAUUUGUUUGUCUUGUAGGUGCUAUCCAUAACUAACACAAUCGGAAAAAUAUUCAACAACUUAACUAAAUCAGGAUGUGCCCAAAAUAUCUCUCUCACCACUUCCGAGUCAUCCUUUUUUCUACUCUAAUAGACAUAACCUGCAUUCUUAAUAAACUUAAACAUAUGUUGUAUCUCACUCCUAGGACCUCUUAUCUCUUUUUGUAUCACACUCUUAUGCUUGUAUACUUGCGUAAUCCGAGUGACAUUCUCAGGAUCUCGCUCUUGCAAGGAAAGCAAUAUGUGUCUAGGGGGUACAUGUCUCUUUGUCAAAUCAGCGACAUGUUGCUUCUCAUCUGUGGUCAACCUACCGAUAAACGAAUGACCUUCUAAUCUAUCAAGUAAACCAUGAUUAUGUAACCCACAUUUUACAUCAAUCUUCCAACCAAAUCCAUCUUUCGCCGGAGUCGACCUGAUUUUAAAUGGGCAUCCACAUUUCUUGAACGACUGAUAAUAACAGUUACUUUAUUAUCGUUUCCAACCUCUUUAAUCCAUCUGAUAACCUGUUCUCGUGUACCAAAUCUUUCAGUCGUUAUAAACGUAUCAGUAGUAUCUACACAUAUUUGGGGAAGAUUUUCCAUUCCUGCAAAAUAAAAAACAGAUUAAAAAAAAAAAAAAGCAAAUCGGAACACUUCUUGAAAGAGUUCCGGUAAACAAAUUUACAAA
This 843-nucleotide long non-coding RNA is filed under the name Lathyrus oleraceus (garden pea). RNAcentral describes it as "Pisum sativum (pea) long non-coding RNA (PSAT_LNC020300)". Lineage: Eukaryota; Viridiplantae; Streptophyta; Magnoliopsida; Fabales; Fabaceae. The record is from RNAcentral.